Non-coding RNA from Ictidomys tridecemlineatus (thirteen-lined ground squirrel), 1808 nucleotides. The record is from RefSeq and is a predicted model, not a curated record. NCBI's taxonomy places the organism in Eukaryota, Metazoa, Chordata, Mammalia, Rodentia, Sciuridae.
AAGAUCUAAAAAAUAAACAAAAAAUAGAUCAGAAUAUUCUAAUUUAUAAUGACAUUGAUGAUAAUUUUAUUUGUCAAAAAGCAAAAACACUAAUGAUCGACCAAAUACACUUUUACCAGAAACGAAUCAUGACAUAGAAAUUUGUUAUUUCACAUCUAUGUAGUGCAUUAGUUUCCAUGUUUUCUUGAGUUUCAAAGUCAAAUGUAAACAUGUUUUUUUCUAUUUUUUGAAAACUGCAGUUUUUAAAAAAUAAAUAUAUUUUAUUUAGUGUACUUUUUAAAGCUUUAUUUCUGUUAUAUUAUAGGGAAUGCUUAAUUCUAAGCUCCAAUUAACUAAAGAAUAUUUUCCAGAGAAUAAAGAUUCAUAUUUUCAUGUUAAGAAUAAUUGUUAGGUAACUCUAAUAACAAAUGCAAAUUAACUAAUGUUUAUGGAAAUAUGUAACUGUCACAGAAUCUUUCCUAUUUCAAAGAAGCAUAAAUUAAAGAAAGGGCAAAGUAUUUACUAUGUAAUUCAGAGAAUGUACUAUGUAACUCUGUCCCUACUCUCAGAUUCAUCUCUCUCUCCCCCCCACCUCCUUCCAUUCCUCUCAAAGAUUCUGACCAUGAUGUGAAAACUACACAAGAGUCUUGAAAUGGAGUAAUUCUUCAUGAGGGAACAACAGGUCCUUUUGAAGGAUUUCAACAACAACAACAACAAAAGUGGUGCGUCCUAAUCACGUGUAUCUUAGACCUAACAAAAUGCCAGAGGCACUACAUGUCAGUCCAGAAUGAAUCUCCAAUAGGACAUCCAUUGUUUCAAGGGAUGGAAAAUAUACCAUCUUCAAAAGCCAGAGAUUUAAUGUAUGGAGGCCUCAAUGGUAAGAAACAAUAACUUCAAACUGAGCCCAGAUUAACUCCUUAUUUUCCCACUCUUUUGGUGUUCUUAUUUUCUAUUUUAGACAGAAGACUGAUGUUGUAAAAUGACAGCCAUUGUUUCCAAUAUGACUCUUGGAAUUAUUGUUAAAAAUGUCACCUGGUCACGGUCAACCUAUUGCUCAACAGUUGCCUUUGAAUGCUAUCAUCUAGUAUGGUGUAUUAAAUUUUAUUUUAAAAAUAUAAUGCUACCAGGCUGGAGUUAUGGCUCAGAGGUAGAACACUUGCCUAGCAUGCAUAAGGCACUGAGUUCAAUUCUCACCACCACAUAAAAAUAAAAUAAAGAUAUUGUGUCUACCUAUAACUAAAAAAAAAAUAUUUUUUAAAAAAUAUAAUGCUACCUAAACACCAUGUAUGUGUCCUUUUUACUUUAAGGAUAAAGAAAGGACUUUUGUUGUCACAUAUUAUCAUGAAGUUCAGAUACACCACAUCAUCUAUUUUUUUCUGGUCACUUAAUAUAGUGACCUUGUGAAAAUCAACAUGAUGUUUUCUGGAAUAAUUUAUCCCAAUGAACUACAGCUAGAUGCCAUUUCUGGAAAUUUCCCUUUCAAUAGAGUUUACAAACUAUUUCUAAUUUCAACAAAAAUCUUCCACAAGAUGAUUUUCAAACUCAUUAAUUCAUAGCUAGCAAAACACAGUUUUCUUCUUUUUGGAAAAGAAGUGCUUGCCUCCCUGAGCUCUUACAAUACCUCUUUUGAUAAUCAUGUUUUCUUCAAAAUUACUAGAAUUGGUUUGGCAAUCUUUUCUUCAAUUACUGAGAAUAACCUGAUUUUAAAGAUCUGUCAAUGUUGAUAGAGUUUUAUUCGACCACAAAGAAGAAUGAAACUAUGUCAUUGCAGGAAAAUAGAUAGAACUUGAAACAUCAUGUUAAAUGAAAUAAGCCAAACUCAGAUUUUU